CCUACGGGAAGCUGCAGUGAGGAAUAUUGGUCAAUGGACGAGAGUCUGAACCAGCCAAGUAGCGUGAAGGAUGACUGCCCUAUGGGUUGUAAACUUCUUUUAUAUGGGAAUAAAAUGUUCCACGUGUGGGAUUUUGUAUGUACCAUAUGAAUAAGGAUCGGCUAACUCCGUGCCAGCAGCCGCGGUAAUACGGAGGAACCGAGCGUUAUCCGGAUUUAUUGGGUUUAAAGGGAGCGUAGGUGGAUUGUUAAGUCAGUUGUGAAAGUUUGCGGCUCAACCGUAAAAUUGCAGUUGAAACUGGCAGUCUUGAGUACAGUAGAGGUGGGCGGAAUUCGUGGUGUAGCGGUGAAAUGCUUAGAUAUCACGAAGAACUCCGAUUGCGAAGGCAGUUCACUGGACUGCAACUGACACUGAGGCUCGAAAGUGUGGGUAUCAAACAGGAUUAGAUACCCUUGUAGUC
This 460-nucleotide ribosomal RNA is filed under the name uncultured bacterium. RNAcentral describes it as "partial 16S ribosomal RNA". It matches the Rfam family "Bacterial small subunit ribosomal RNA", at positions 338 to 795 of the family's 1533-position model. The record is from RNAcentral.